GACGAACGCUGGCGGCGUGCUUAACACAUGCAAGUCGAACGGAAAGGCCCUGCUUUUGUGGGGUGCUCGAGUGGCGAACGGGUGAGUAACACGUGAGUAACCUGCCCUUGACUUUGGGAUAACUUCAGGAAACUGGGGCUAAUACCGGAUAGGAGCUCCUGCUGCAUGGUGGGGGUUGGAAAGUUUCGGCGGUUGGGGAUGGACUCGCGGCUUAUCAGCUUGUUGGUGGGGUAGUGGCUUACCCAGGCUUUGACGGGUAGCCGGCCUGUGAGGGUGACCGGCCACAUUGGGACUGAGAUACGGCCCAGACUCCUACGGGAGGCAGCAGUGGGGAAUAUUGCACAAUGGGCGGAAGCCUGAUGCAGCAACGCCGCGUGCGGGAUGACGGCCUUCGGGUUGUAAACCGCUUUCGCCUGUGACGAGGCGUGAGUGACGGUAAUGGGUAAAGAAGCACCGGCUAACUACGUG
This 468-nucleotide ribosomal RNA is filed under the name uncultured bacterium. Its description in RNAcentral is "partial 16S ribosomal RNA". It matches the Rfam family "Bacterial small subunit ribosomal RNA", at positions 28 to 507 of the family's 1533-position model. The record is from RNAcentral.